CUCCCGGUGAGGGAUUUGGACAGCAGGACAGCACCUCGCACUUCAGAAUGACCUUUGCCCUGCCCGUGAAGGAGCUGACGGUGGCCCUGGAGAAGAUCGGGGAAUUCCACCGGCGGUUCACGGCCGAGUUCUCCUGAGCAUCAUGAGCUGGGACAGGUGUAGACGUCACCAACAGCCAGUCCUGGUCCAACCGUGUGCAUACCAUAGCCAACAAAGCACCCCAGCGCCUUUACUAAGGCUAAGGAAAUUUGGCAUGUCCCCGAUGACCCUCACCAACUUUUACCGAUGCACCUUAGAAAGCAUCCUAUCUGGAUGUAUCACGGCUUGGUACGGCAACUGCUCUGCCCAGGACCGCAAGAAACCACAGAGAGUUGUGGACACAGCCCAGCGCAUCACGGACACCAGC
This is a long non-coding RNA of Pristis pectinata (smalltooth sawfish), 406 nucleotides long. RefSeq lists it as uncharacterized. The transcript has 3 exons. Lineage: Eukaryota; Metazoa; Chordata; Chondrichthyes; Rhinopristiformes; Pristidae. The record is from RefSeq and is a predicted model, not a curated record.